CGUCCAGACUCCUACGGGAGGCAGCAGUGAGGAAUAUUGGUCAAUGGGCGCGAGCCUGAACCAGCCAAGUCGCGUGAGGGAAGACGGUCCUAUGGAUUGUAAACCUCUUUUGUCGGGGAGCAAAAGACGCCACGUGUGGCGUUCCGAGAGUACCCGAAGAAAAAGCAUCGGCUAACUCCGUGCCAGCAGCCGCGGUAAUACGGAGGAUGCGAGCGUUAUCCGGAUUUAUUGGGUUUAAAGGGUGCGUAGGGGGAUUUUUAAGUCAGCGGUAAAAUGUCCGGGCUCAACCCGGGCCGGCCGUUGAAACUGGGGAUCUUGAGUAGGCGAGAAGUAUGCGGAAUGCGUGGUGUAGCGGUGAAAUGCGUAGAUGUCACGCAGAGCUCCGAUUGCGAAGGCAGCAUACCGGCGCCCGACUGACGCUGAGGCACGAAAGCGUGGGGAUCGAACAGGAUUAGAUACCCUCGUAACA
This 469-nucleotide ribosomal RNA is filed under the name uncultured bacterium. Its description in RNAcentral is "bacterial SSU rRNA". It matches the Rfam family "Bacterial small subunit ribosomal RNA", at positions 328 to 795 of the family's 1533-position model. The record is from RNAcentral.